GAUGAACGCUGGCGGUAUGCUUAACACAUGCAAGUCGAACGGUCACUUCGGUGAUAGUGGCGGACGGGUGAGUAACGCGUGAGAAUCUGUCUUCAGGUCGGGGACAACAGUUAGAAAUGACUGCUAAUACCGGAUGUGCCUUUGGGUGAAAGAUUGAUUGCCUGAAAAAGAGCUCGCGUCAGAUUAGCUAGUAGGUGGUGUAAGAGACUACCUAGGCUCCGAUCUGUAGCUGGUCUGAGAGGACGAUCAGCCACACUGGAACUGAGACACGGUCCAGACUCCUACGGGAGGCAGCAGUGGGGAAUUUUCCGCAAUGGGCGAAAGCCUGACGGAGCAAUACCGCGUGAGGGACGAAGACUUUUGGGUCGUAAACCUCUUUUCUCAAGGAAGAUGAUGACGGUACUUGAGGAAUAAGCAUCGGCUAACUCUGUG
RNAcentral lists this ribosomal RNA (432 nucleotides) under uncultured bacterium. RNAcentral's name for it is "partial 16S ribosomal RNA". It matches the Rfam family "Bacterial small subunit ribosomal RNA", at positions 28 to 507 of the family's 1533-position model. The record is from RNAcentral.